Molecule: long non-coding RNA, 4692 nt
Organism: Dermochelys coriacea (leatherback sea turtle)
Lineage: Eukaryota; Metazoa; Chordata; Testudines; Dermochelyidae
Exons: 3
Source: RefSeq, a predicted model, not a curated record
CACUGCACUAUAAGAAUAACACUCACAACACUGACAUAUCCCCUUCUACCUUUAAUCCCUAACAACAAAAAGGAUAAAUCAAUAAAAUCUUUAUAUACCUACAGAGAGAGAGAAAGUAACAUCCCCAAAGCAGAAUUUACGCAAAAAGGGAAACAUGCCAGAGACUCCAUGAUGUUCUCUCGUGACCUUGCUAUUGCUAUUGAUUCUAUGUAGAAGGCACUCAAAUGGUGGUGGCUGGCAACAUAAAAUGCUAAGAGAUAGAUAAAUGAUCCCUUUCCCCAGCCUUUAUAACUCAAACCCAACUUUUUGUAAAUAAAUAAAAAUAAAACUUGUUCCUGUGUUUUAUUCAUUCAAAUAUAAAUUUUAUAUAUAUAUAAUAAAUAAAAUGUCUAAAACCCCAUUCCAGUAUGUGGAGUCUUAAUGAGACCUAGCAACAUUGGGAGUGCUGAGAGCACUCGCCCUUCAGCCUCAUGCCUCCAAACGCGCUCGAGGCAUGCAUAUAUUUCAUUAUGACCGCACACUCUGUCAUGUGUUAUUCCUUACUUAUUGACAAUUUGUCACUGUCACCCUUGACAUGUCACUCCACCGCAGAAGAAUUGGACUUCAGUGUGAAAUGUGACAGUCAGAUGAGAGAAUUUUGUAAUCUGACCUGAAAUACUGGACUGAGAGAGACUAAUUUCAUUCGAACACAAAUCUAAUGUAACACAAAGGGGAGAGAUGUUUGCAUUUAUAAAGGGUUUUUUAGAGGGUUUUCUAAAAGAUUCUUCCCCCUAUCUAGUGUUUAUUCUUCAGCAUAAUGCUUUUAUUUUUUGAAGGAUAGAGCUUUGCAUUUUAAUACCAUGCAUUUUCAAUUAAGUGCACUAAGAUCCAUGGAUAUAACUAUUACUUAAACUGUAAGUAAUGGUUACAUGUAAAAAUUAGGAAACAUAUUGUGCUUUAUAUAAAUUACAUUCAAAUUACUUCUUAUUAUAAAUGGCGUAGAAAAUGGAUUUUUAGCUCUAGCUGGCCAAAGAGGCAACAUUUGUAUCUACUUCAUUUGUUUAAAUAUAUUUCAAGCCAGAUUGAAAUCCAUAUUGCCUGACGUUAAUUGAGUACUUGCAGCAUCAGUGUACUCAAGUUUCAUAAACCACUGAUGAGCAAGUUUUUACAGGCUCGAUUUAAAAAUAUACCAUCCCUUUUAUAUGAAAAUCAUAUUCUGUUUAUGGAGUAAUUCUUAAAACCCAUUAAAUGGUAUAAAACUUAAUAAUGAAAUUAAUGUAAAUAUAACAUUUGUACUGUUGAGCUGAUGUCUUGUUUGCUUAGAAAAUUAUAUUUUCCCCACUUGAUUUUUUUUCUAAAAAGAUCUUUCUAUACCAUAUUCUAAGCAAACAUUUUUUACUUCUCAAUAGGGAGAACUAGUAUCAGGAAUAAUCAGCUAUAAUAUUGAAGUUUUCCCAUACAGUCUGUCUGCGUACUUCAGUCUGGAUGUGAUAUUCCAGUCCUGGACCCAUCUUGAGCAGAGACUAUCAAUCAUAUCAAAUUAGCUAGUAGUUUACUAGCUUUGUGGUACUGACAAAUAAUUAUCCAGUCGUUUCACUAGUGAUCUAUAGAAAGCCAGGUCUGAACCUAAGUUCAGAGGUGAAAGGCCAGGGCAUUAACCCAUCUUUUCAUAACCAGAUAAUUCUGACAAAAACAGAGAAUUGAAAAUCGUUAAUUGGCCUAGAAAGCACUACAUUAAAGUUAACAUUCUGGCCUUAGUAACACUUGGAAGCAAAGAAUUUUCAAGGCCAUGAUUUUUACCCCAAGUCUCAUUUAAAUUUUCUAGCAUAAAAUAAAUAAAUUUAAAAAACAAACACAUCUCUCAGUCAAACAGCUUUUACUGGCUGAACUGAACUGAAUGUCUCAUGGCUUUCUGCAAGUCAUGUUCUAUUUGAGGAGACUGACUACAGUUAGGCUAAAGCAUUAUGAAGUAUCAUCUACACUGUGUCGUUGGUUUAUUGGACCAAUAAAAGGUGUUGCUUCACCCACCUUGUCUCUCUAAUAACCUGGGACCAACAAAGCUACAAUACCACUGCAUACAAGUUCUUCUAUAUGGCUUUUAACAGUACUAACAUAACUGUCCAGAUGUCAUACAAUGAACAUCAGAUAAUUUGUACACUUGAUUCUCCAUGCUGUAAUUUCUGAGGAGGGGAAUGGUGGCUUUGCACUGUACAAACCUUUUGCUGUUUUCUUAUUGUAUUUACUGAAUUUUAUUUAAAAUCUGUAAUGAUAAAAUUAUGUUUAAUAAUAAAAGCCCUUCUCUGAGGGAAAGCAGCAUAUGUCGAAUACCCAAGCCCUCUGAGAGGAAAUCUGCAUGAUUGGAUUCUUUGAUGCCGAAUUGUACCAUUAUUCUUUGAUGCCUCAUUAGCAGCUCCAUUGGGGUUUCAAGAGUCAGGAGGAGCAACUUUUUCUGUUUAUUGUUUGACUACAGGCAUUCCUAUUUAUUGUUUGUAUUACAGUAGCUCCCAGAUGAAGGAUGAGUCCAGUGGUUUGAAUGCUAGCCUAGGGCUUGGAAGAGCUACGUUCAAGUCCCUGCUUUGUCACAGACUUCCCAUAUGACCUUGGAAUUUCACUUCAGCUCCUGUCCUGGUGAGAUUAAACCCACUGACAUUGGUGCUGGCUUUCUUUGGGGGGAAAAUUAGCCUGCAGAACUGGCUAUAUAAAGAAACUUAUCACCAGGAAUCUAUGUGGUCUAGUGGUUAAAAUGGAGUUUGAGGAGACUGAGACUCUUGUGUCCCAUUCCCAGCUCUGCUACUGACUAUGGGUGCUGCUCACCCACUGCUGCUGUUGGGUACAAUUGGAUUUGCGAGUACUCAGAACUUCUGAAAAUCAAGCCCAAGAGAUGUCAAAGUGUUCACUUUUGGACCAAGUGACUUGUCCAAGUGCACGCAAGGAGUCUGUGGUCAUGCUGGGAAUUGAACCUAGAUCUUCCCAGUCAAAUACUUUGCUAGAAGGCAAUCUUUCCUACCAAGGCAGAGAAUGCCAAAUAGUGUAAUAAAAUGACUAUAUGCUUUGUGCGUGUGUAUAUGUUUGAUGGGAACAUCUAUAGGACAGGGUGCCAUAAAAGGGGAUUUUUUCCUUAAUAUUCAGGGCAGAUUGAUGGAGGGCUGAUGUCUUACCCUCAGUGACAGUAUGGGGUGGGAGGGGGAAGAGGCGAUCACACUAAUCUUGAAGUGUUUUUUUUUUUUUUUGGAGGUGGGGAAGGAAUCACAAAGGGAUGCUCUCUAACUAUGGUAGUGCAAAGGGGCUCAAGGUGUCCCCUUUGAAUAAGCUUUUCCUGGGGUGAGAGUGGUGUAAACAGUAAGAUGCCAUAUCUGGUGCUGUCCAUUUAAUAAAAGGAAAAAAGGGAUGUAGGAUUAGAAGGUUCUGAGGCUGUUGGGAGAACAGUCCUUCUAAGAUACCCUUAAGGUAUCUUGGGAAUCCAAACCUAAGACAGAAUAAAGAGAAAUGCUCUUCAGGACCUGGUUUCCCUAGAAAGUCCUAUGAGUAGGCAAAAGACUCUGAGCUAGGUUUGGUGUUGUCUCCUACGGCACAGCCCAGGAGGAGAGGAGGCAGUUUUACACCUUAUUUGUGCUGCCCAGAUUCUGGUUGGCUUCAGGGCCUGAAACGAGGCUGCUCUAUCUUGCAGUGACCUUACUUGAGCCCUGUGUGAACUGCUCUGCAGCUCAGAAUUCCCAGAGUGCCAAGAACAACAAACGCAUCUAUAUACUAGGAGCUGCGAAGGUGCAACAUUGGGCUGCUUACAUUGUCCCAGUCACUGGCUUACUCUCCCAUGUCUGUUGCUGCCUCCUUACAGCUCUGAUAUGCCACUGCAGUUGCAUAUAGGGUCAGGAGCCGGGGCCAGAAUGUGGUCCACUGAGUGUAGAGAAGUGCAAAUAUGUCACAGGAGCAUCUUCGGGGUCUGUCAGAGUUAGGAUUUAUCCUGGGGCAAGAUGUGAAAAGUCACAGGCAGAAACAGCUCUGAGUAAACCAGUUUGGCAUUACCUGAGCCAGCCAAUCAGAAAUCAAAUAAAUAAAAAUGCAGGACUGCCCCAAUCCCAAAAAAUGUACUCUCUUUAAAAAAUGAAAGUUGAGAUUCAACCCUAAUCACUUGCCUCCAGGGGCUGGAGCUUUAUAAAAAUAUCAAAUAUUGCAAGGCUUGCAAUAAAAUUGUGCAGAUUGUGAAUACUGAAAUGUAUACAAUGAAUGCCAAAAAAUAAUUGCUGGGAAUGCAACAUUAAAAACCAGAAUAAAAACCACCACCUCAGCUACAUUCCUCAAAACUCUGAGGGGCAACGGGAGAGUGAGACUCCUGUGUAGUGAUAUCUUCAAAGAAGCAGAAUUCUGGGUAAAUAAUUUCCCUCCUUUGAGCUACCAGAUACCAUCAUCACAGGAUUCCCACUUUUGGAGAGUAAGUAGCUUAAGGGAUAUCCUAAAAUAAGAAGUAAUGAGAGCUCAGAGUAAAGACAGUGGCAAACAUCAGUUAAAGUGCAGUUGAUGGAGGCAAGAAAGGUAAUUUCUACCCAAGCUGUUCAAUAUGUGAACGGAAUUUCAUUGUUUGACUCUUGUAUGUGUGGCUGUAGAACAUAUUAUAGCUGAGUAGAGCCAGCAUAUGAGAAAAUGGUAUCUAUUUAUUAGAGCUGAUAAGAAACGGAAUUUCUUUCCUGCAACAUCCAAAUUGGGAUAAAAGAAAUA